UACAGAGGGGGCAAGCGUUAUUCGGAAUUAUUGGGCGUAAAGGGCGCGUAGGCGGCCUGGCAAGUGGAAGGUGAAAUCCCUCGGCUUAACCGAGGAACUGCCUCCCAAACUGCUUGGCUUGAGACCAGGAGAGGUGAGUGGAAUUCCCAGUGUAGCGGUGAAAUGCGUAGAUAUUGGGAGGAACACCAGUGGCGAAGGCGAGUUCCUGGACAGUUACUGACACUGAGGCACGAAGGCCAGGGGAGCAAACGGG
This 253-nucleotide ribosomal RNA is filed under the name uncultured bacterium. RNAcentral's name for it is "partial 16S ribosomal RNA". It matches the Rfam family "Bacterial small subunit ribosomal RNA", at positions 524 to 776 of the family's 1533-position model. The record is from RNAcentral.